AAUGAACGCUGGCGGCAUGCCUAACACAUGCAAGUCGAACGAAGGCUUCGGCCUUAGUGGCGCACGGGUGCGUCACGCGUGGGAAUCUGCCCUUGGGUUCGGAAUAACAGUUAGAAAUGACUGCUAAUACCGGAUGAUGUCGUAAGACCAAAGAUUUAUCGCCCAAGGAUGAGCCCGCGUAGGAUUAGCUAGUUGGUGGGGUAAAGGCCCACCAAGGCGACGAUCCUUAGCUGGUCUGAGAGGAUGAUCAGCCACACUGGGACUGAGGCACGGCCCAGACUCCUACGGGAGGCAGCAGUGGGGAAUAUUGGACAAUGGGCGAAAGCCUGAUCCAGCAAUGCCGCGUGAGUGAUGAAGGCCUUAGGGUUGUAAAGCUCUUUUACCCGGGAUGAUAAUGACAGUACCGGGAGAAUAAGCUCCGGCUAACUUCGUGCCAGCCGCCGCCGUAA
RNAcentral lists this ribosomal RNA (449 nucleotides) under uncultured bacterium. RNAcentral describes it as "partial 16S ribosomal RNA". It matches the Rfam family "Bacterial small subunit ribosomal RNA", at positions 29 to 523 of the family's 1533-position model. The record is from RNAcentral.